UCCACCAAGGCRCCCUUUUUUUGUUUGACCUCGGAUCAGGUAGGRAUACCCG
This 52-nucleotide ribosomal RNA is filed under the name Dothideomycetes sp. Its description in RNAcentral is "partial 28S ribosomal RNA". Lineage: Eukaryota; Fungi; Ascomycota; Dothideomycetes. The record is from RNAcentral.